Molecule: long non-coding RNA, 1007 nt
Filed under: Malus domestica (apple)
Lineage: Eukaryota; Viridiplantae; Streptophyta; Magnoliopsida; Rosales; Rosaceae
Description: long non-coding RNA (MDOM_LNC021058)
Source: RNAcentral
ACUCACAUACAUCCCUUCCCCCACACUUGUUUUCUGCAAUACAUUGAUAAAAAAGAAUUCAUUUUGAGUUAUGCUUUACUAUGCUUUAAGAACAAGGGUAAGGAUGGGCCUAAUCUAGUCUAGGUAAGGAUAAUGUGGGUUAACAAACAAUAUAGGCUAAACAAGGCUCAACGGGGUUAAACCUACAAAACAAAUGCAUGGAAUGAAGGCUUUUUGGCUAUGGUGGAAACUACUAACUUCAUCUUGAAUAUGUGUUAUGCAAUUCAAUAACAUGUUUUGAAUGACAUUGGCAUGAGUUCUAGUGUUUGGAACUAAAUGAUGAAACGCCUUCUAAGCAUAUAACAUUUAUAUGAGACGGCUUAAAACAAUAAUCUUUGCCCUUGAUAUUAAACUAGAUUAGUUUAACAUGUGAAAUGUCCGUAAAGUAUCAUUAUAUGAUUGGUUUUAGGGCACAUUUCCAACAUACAUGAUGUUGUGAAGCUAGGCAACGAGAAUAGCCAACAUCGUAUCAUUGUGAGGUUGUUCAUGAACCCCUACUUGAACUUGCAUGGUGGGAAUGACUUAACUAAGUGCAAUGGAGCCAACAUCAUAUCAUUGUGAGGCUUCAUUCUCUAGAGGCCAAAUAAGAUGGGUACUUGCAAUGAGUAAGUGUACUCUCUCAUUAUUAUUGAUGCUAGCCAACAUCAUAUCAUUGUGAGGUGGGCUUAGUAAUGAUGAGUCUCCCAUACCCUACUAAGAGUUUCCUCCAAAACUCUCGAAUUCCGAUGAGGGAUAUGGAAUUUUCCAAAAAUAGUGGGUGGUGCUAUUUGAUUUAAAGACCCGAAUCUAAUGGCUUAAAAUCAAUCAAUUUAUAUUCGUUAUGUAUUUGUUUACCAAUAUAUUUGCAAACGCUAUCCAAAACUUGACAAAGAAAAGCCGAAUGCUUUAGUUUCCGAACUUGGUACCACAAUCCCAAAGAUUGUCUUAAAUGGAUUGUAUAUGUACCUAAGUAGUCUAAUCCUCACAAU